UUAAUUGAAGCCAAAAUAGAGGCCUAUCACUGUUAAUGAUAAUACUGAAGACUAAUUCCAAUUAAG
RNAcentral lists this transfer RNA (66 nucleotides) under Mnais tenuis. RNAcentral's name for it is "tRNA-Asn". Lineage: Eukaryota; Metazoa; Arthropoda; Insecta; Odonata; Calopterygidae. The record is from RNAcentral.